Molecule: ribosomal RNA, 379 nt
Filed under: Callista chione
Lineage: Eukaryota; Metazoa; Mollusca; Bivalvia; Venerida; Veneridae
Description: partial 16S ribosomal RNA
Rfam family: Bacterial large subunit ribosomal RNA
Source: RNAcentral
UUAACGGCCGCAGUUGUCCUGUGCUAAGGUAGCAUAAUGAUUAGCUCUUUAAUUGGGGGAAAGUAUGAAUGGUUUGACGUGGAGAUACUGUCUUAAAUAUAAUAAAUAGAAAUUUUUUUUCAAGUGAAAAAACCUGAAUUUUUGUAAAAGAAGAGAAGACCCUAUCGAACUGAAUUAGAAAGUUAAUAAUUGAAAGUCAGUUAUUAUUCUUUUGAAUUUUUGUUGGGGUAACAAUGGACUCAAUAGAGCGUCUCUUUAUUAUAUAAGAAUCCUAUUUGAUAGGAAAGAUCAACAGUUACCGUAGGGAUAACAGCCUAAUAUCUUUCUGAGAGGUCUUAUUGAGGGGAGGGUGUGCGACCUCGAUGUUGGAUUAAAGAAA